GUGAGGAAUAUUGGUCAAUGGGCGUAAGCCUGAACCAGCCAAGUAGCGUGAGGGAAGACUGCCCUAUGGGUUGUAAACCUCUUUUGUGCGGGGAUAAAGUGUGGGACGUGUCCCAUAUUGCAGGUACCGCACGAAUAAGGACCGGCUAAUUCCGUGCCAGCAGCCGCGGUAAUACGGAAGGUCCGGGCGUUAUCCGGAUUUAUUGGGUUUAAAGGGAGCGCAGGCCGUCCUUUAAGCGUGCUGUGAAAUGCCGCGGCUCAACCGUGGCACUGCAGCGCGAACUGGAGGACUUGAGUACGCACGAGGUAGGCGGAAUUCGUGGUGUAGCGGUGAAAUGCUUAGAUAUCACGAAGAACUCCGAUUGCGAAGGCAGCUUACCGGAGCGCAACUGACGCUGAGGCUCGAAAGCGCGGGUAUCGAACAGGAUUAGAAACCCUAGUAGUCC
RNAcentral lists this ribosomal RNA (445 nucleotides) under uncultured bacterium. Its description in RNAcentral is "bacterial SSU rRNA". It matches the Rfam family "Bacterial small subunit ribosomal RNA", at positions 354 to 796 of the family's 1533-position model. The record is from RNAcentral.